CUCAGAAGCUGCGAUGCUGGCAAGCGAACCAGAGUAAGAGCAUGACAACAUCCCGGGGUGACCAACCCCACCCGCUGGGAUGGCAGCUUGUGGUUUUGCUGAGGGAAGCUGGGACCCCCCGGGCUACCACAGCACCUUACACUGCAGAACAGAUCACUGCGGAGCAAGCUGCUCCCCAGCCGCUGUACCGUCUUACUGCCCACCCCCUGUCAGAGGGUAAUCAAAGUGUUCCACUCAUUAUUGGCAUGAGAACCUGGCCCUGUGUCCUGACUUAGAGUCAUCUCAGGAAAUACUUCCAGACUCAUGUGAGGGGAGACAUCCUGCUUUCUUCCAAAUGAGUGUUCUGAACAGCAGCACUACGUGGCCAUUGCCUCCCUCUCUGUCACAGGCAACUCACCUUUUCCCUGGCACUCUCUCUUUGGGUGCCAGGGAUGCAGAGAGGACAGAUCCAGCUCCACUGCAGUCGUCUCAGAUCUGCAGACUUACUAGCUAGUACAGACAACAGAGUGCAUAGCUAAACGGCUUGCAGGCACUGACCCAAGCCACUAAGACCUCUGGACUUCGCUCAAGCCACAGUGGAAGCAGCUCCAGGACAUCUGCAUUGCCUUCCAGAAACUGGAUGGCCACCACACACAGGAUGAAACAGAGAGCAAGUCCAGGUCUGAGCUGUCUGCCCUUCAGAGGAAGCUAACAGUGCCGCUGGACCUGUGCCAUCUGUUGCAUAGGCAUCUUGGCAGAAUACAGCAAGAGUACACUCACCAGGGCCUCAACUACCUAUGAUUAUCUAGGUUACCUUUGCCCUCCAUUCUCCCAGUUGUUGGAGAUCUGCCUGCAUUAGAUUUCACACACACUUAAAGGGCUUCUCCAGAAGAAAUUAAGAAAAGCCUUCCUGAAAAUUCCUUGUCUUUUUUGGGGGGAGGUUGUGCUAGUUUGAAGCAGGGUAGAAUGUUUUGGUGAGAAGAACUAGAUCAUAGGCUGUGAAAGGAAAACAAUGGUGAUGCCUACUCCCCUCUGAGUCUUGCUGAAGAAAAAAGGAAAACAUUAGAUAACACUCUCACCAUUUUUGUUUCUUUCUGGCUGAGCAACAUCUCCCUAACCUCACCUUCCACUCACCUUUGCUUCUUAACCUCUUGGCUGAACCUCUAUUCUU
Pogoniulus pusillus (Red-fronted tinkerbird) is the source of this 1150-nucleotide long non-coding RNA. RefSeq lists it as uncharacterized. NCBI's taxonomy places the organism in Eukaryota, Metazoa, Chordata, Aves, Piciformes, Lybiidae. The record is from RefSeq and is a predicted model, not a curated record. The transcript has 3 exons.